AUUGAACGCUGGCGGCAGGCCUAACACAUGCAAGUCGGACGGUAGCACAGAAGAGCUCGCUCUUUGGGUGGCGAGUGGCGGACGGGUGAGUAAUGUCUGGGAAACUGCCCGAUGGAGGGGGAUAACUACUGGAAACGGUAGCUAAUACCGCAUAACGUCGCGAGACCAAAGUGGGGGACCUUCGGGCCUCACACCAUCGGAUGUGCCCAGAUGGGAUUAGCUAGUAGGUGGGGUAAUGGCUCACCUAGGCGACGAUCCCUAGCUGGUCUGAGAGGAUGACCAGCCACACUGGAACUGAGACACGGUCCAGACUCCUACGGGAGGCAGCAGUGGGGAAUAUUGCACAAUGGGCGCAAGCCUGAUGCAGCCAUGCCGCGUGUAUGAAGAAGGCCUUCGGGUUGUAAAGUACUUUCAGCGGGGAGGAAGGCGGUGAGGUUAAUAACCUCGCCGAUUGACGUUACCCGCAGAAGAAGCACCGGCUAACUCCGUGCCAGCCGCCGCGGUAA
RNAcentral lists this ribosomal RNA (506 nucleotides) under uncultured bacterium. Its description in RNAcentral is "partial 16S ribosomal RNA". It matches the Rfam family "Bacterial small subunit ribosomal RNA", at positions 29 to 523 of the family's 1533-position model. The record is from RNAcentral.